AUUGAACGCUGGCGGCAUGCUUUACACAUGCAAGUCGAACGGCAGCACGGACUUCGGUCUGGUGGCGAGUGGCGAACGGGUGAGUAAUACAUCGGAACGUGCCUAGUAGUGGGGGAUAACUACUCGAAAGAGUGGCUAAUACCGCAUGAGAUCUACGGAUGAAAGCAGGGGACCUUCGGGCCUUGUGCUACUAGAGCGGCUGAUGGCAGAUUAGGUAGUUGGUGGGGUAAAGGCUUACCAAGCCUGCGAUCUGUAGCUGGUCUGAGAGGACGACCAGCCACACUGGGACUGAGACACGGCCCAGACUCCUACGGGAGGCAGCAGUGGGGAAUUUUGGACAAUGGGCGAAAGCCUGAUCCAGCAAUGCCGCGUGCAGGAUGAAGGCCCUCGGGUUGUAAACUGCUUUUGUACGGAACGAAAAGCUCUCUUCUAAUACAGGAGAGUCAUGACGGUACCGUAAGAAUAAGCACCGGCUAACUACGUG
Molecule: ribosomal RNA, 484 nt
Filed under: uncultured bacterium
Lineage: Bacteria
Description: bacterial SSU rRNA
Rfam family: Bacterial small subunit ribosomal RNA
Source: RNAcentral